RNAcentral lists this non-coding RNA (26 nucleotides) under Callithrix jacchus (white-tufted-ear marmoset). The record is from RNAcentral. RNAcentral also lists the same sequence under 1 other name. Lineage: Eukaryota; Metazoa; Chordata; Mammalia; Primates; Cebidae.
GUGAGAUGCAGAACCCCCGGGAGCGC